This 685-nucleotide unclassified non-coding RNA is filed under the name Hevea brasiliensis (rubber tree). Lineage: Eukaryota; Viridiplantae; Streptophyta; Magnoliopsida; Malpighiales; Euphorbiaceae. The record is from RNAcentral.
GGUAGUCUUGCCAAAAUUAUCAUCGACGUUAUUAGUAAAGGAACGAGAAUUCUCUUUAUGCUUGGUAAAGCUCUUGAUUGAGCUUGGCUUCCCAGAAAACUCAUAAUUUUUCUCUGCAACUUUAGCUUGCUUUGCUUUUGUCCCUCCAGAACAAACCCCUCCCAUCGUUGCUGGAAAAUGGAAAUACCUUCAAAUUCAAAUAAUUUCCUAAUGAAAAAAAAAAAUCCCAACUCUGUUUGGGUCCAAUCCAAUAGUAAAAAAAGGAAUGAUAAUCAAGUUUUUCAACAACAGCAUUAGCAUACCUGAUUAGAGAGAAAGAAAGGAAAUGGGAUUAAGAAGAAGAGAUUGAAGUUCAACGGAAAGGAAAAGGUCAGAGUAGUUACAGUGUGAAGCAAAUUAGAAGAAGAAGAAGAAGAACUCAUUAUCAGGUUGAUUUGAUCGAGACUUGUGCCACAUCCAAUCAUACUUAUUUUUCUCAACCUACCCCAAUUCACCCCAAGCUUGGCCAAAUUGUUAUAGAUUCCUAUUUCCUAAACCAUGAUUAAUCCAGUCUGAGUUACCAUUAAGAUUAACCUGAAUUUUUCAAGUUGAACAAACUAGGCGUCAAGCCUAGCUCGACUCAGUCAACAGUUAUCUUACAAAAUAAGAAAGCAUAGCAAGCACACAAACCUUAACCCGUUUCAAC